This 253-nucleotide ribosomal RNA is filed under the name uncultured bacterium. RNAcentral describes it as "partial 16S ribosomal RNA". It matches the Rfam family "Bacterial small subunit ribosomal RNA", at positions 524 to 776 of the family's 1533-position model. The record is from RNAcentral.
UACGGAGACUGCAAGCGUUACUCGGAUUUACUGGGCGUAAAGGGUGCGCAGGCGGCCUGAUAUGUCAGAUGUGAAAGCCCAUGGCUCAACCAUGGAACUGCAUUUGAAACUAUCAGGCUAGAGUAUUGGAGAGGUAAGCGGAAUUCCUAGUGUAGCGGUGAAAUGCGUAGAUAUUAGGAGGAACACCAAAGGCGAAGGCAGCUUACUGGACAAUUACUGACGCUCAGGCACGAAAGCAUGGGGAGCGAAAGGG